Molecule: ribosomal RNA, 148 nt
Organism: Astyanax mexicanus (Mexican tetra)
Lineage: Eukaryota; Metazoa; Chordata; Actinopteri; Characiformes; Acestrorhamphidae
Rfam family: 5.8S ribosomal RNA
About the family: 5.8S ribosomal RNA (5.8S rRNA) is a component of the large subunit of the eukaryotic ribosome. It is transcribed by RNA polymerase I as part of the 45S precursor that also contains 18S and 28S rRNA.
Source: Ensembl
AACUCUUAGCGGUGGAUCACUUGGCUCGUGCGUCGAUGAAGAACGCAGCCAGCUGCGAGAACUAAUGUGAAUUGCAGGACACAUUGAUGAUCGACACUUUGAACACACAUUGCGGCCCCGGGUCUCUUAAGGGUCGCGGCCGGCGCUU